Molecule: small RNA, 663 nt
Filed under: Pan troglodytes (chimpanzee)
Lineage: Eukaryota; Metazoa; Chordata; Mammalia; Primates; Hominidae
Description: processed transcript
Source: RNAcentral
AACUGGCAAGGGGACCACCCUGUUCUCCUUCUCCUUGCAGCUCCCCGAGUCAUUCCCCUCCCUCCUAGAUGAUGAUGGAUACCUCUCUUUCCCCAACCUUUCUGAAACCAACCUCCUGCCCCAGAGCUUGCAGCAUUACCUCCCGAUCCACUCACCGUCCCUCGUGCCCUGUUUCCUCUUCAUCUUUUUCUUUCUGCUGUCUGCCUCCUUCUCAGUGCCAUAUGCUCUCACUCUCUCCUUCCCUCUGGCUCUGUGCCUCUGCUACCUGGAGCCCAAGGCGGCCUCCUUGAGCGCCUCCCUAGACAAUGACCCGAGUGACAGUUCAGAGGAAGAGACUGACAGUGAGCGCACAGACACCGCAGCCGACGGGGAGACCACCGCCACUGAGUCGGACCAGGAGGAAGAUGCAGAGCUCAAGGCACAGGAGCUAGAAAAAACUCAAGAUGACCUGAUGAAACAUCAAACCAACAUUAGCGAGCUGAAAAGAACCUUCUUAGAAACUUCAACAGACACUGCCGUAACGAAUGAAUGGGAGAAGAGGCUUUCCACCUCCCCCGUGCGACUGGCCGCCAGGCAGGAGGAUGCCCCCAUGAUCGAACCACUUGUCCCUGAAGAGACCAAAGAAGAAACAGAGAUUUCUGAAAAAGUUAUAUUUUUGCAGCA